UUCACCUAUUUUCGAUAAUAUUUGGAUCUCAACAAACGCGGUCAACCCUAAAUCAACAUCACAAAUCAUGCGAAAACGCUAUUACAUAUCCCUCUGUGGCCUAGUUUUGUUGAUUCUUCCACACACACAUUCUCACAUGAAUGAGAUGUAACUACCUAUGUAAAAUUUUUGGGACGUUUACCUCCGGACGAUAGGACUCCCUAUAGGGAAGCAUAAGCCUAAAUAGGGUUAACCGCUUUUAUCGGGACUUAAAACAUUACCAAAAAUACGUAAUUUUUUAAAUCUAACCGUAUUUAGCUAUACCGAUCACAUCAUAUUUCACAAUAUUGAAAAAUUGAAGUGAUGCAGAGGAUAUAAAGAUGAUUUCACUUAAGCGAUAGAAAUAUUUCGUCACUAAAGUCAAAAAAUUGUGUCGCUUUAGUUUAAAACUAAGACGACGGACGAAAAGUUAAUUUGUCAGUUAGGUGAAGGAUAUCAUGCAACAAACAUUUUCAUCGCUUAAGUGUUAACAUUUUCAUCGCUACAUAAAUCUUCUGCGACAAAAUCCGUGUUGUCGCCUUAGAGGGACCUAUGGUGACGAAAUUUAGGCGACAAAAACAUUUUGCCGCCCCAGAAAAUUGUAGCGACGAAAUAUGUAUCUCCGGCGACGAUAUUUAUUUUCGUCGUUUAGGAUUUGCUUAAGCGAAGGGACGAAAUGUAAAAGUGCCCGUCACUUGAGCCUUUUUUUCUACUAGUGUUCCGCUGUCAUCUGUAAAAAGACAAGAAGAUAGUGGUACAUAGAAAAAAGGAAAAUACCCAUUUGCACAUAAACAUGGAUUUUAAAGCCUAUUUCAAUAAAAAUAAGACUUCAUAGCUCAUUCCAAUAAAAACUAAACAAAAGGAUGACCUUACCCUCGCUACAAUUCAACUAAACCUCUCUCCUUGUUUCACAUCCCGAUCUAAAUUCUCUCUCUCUCUCUCNNNNNNNNNNNNNNNNNNNNCUACCUACUACCUACUACUACUCUCUCUCUCUCUCUCUCUCUCUCUCUCUCUCUCUCUCUCUCUCUCUCUCUCAUCGUCAGCGAUGAUGUCAACGACCAUCACCAAUCGGAUCCGGAUUCCUAGGGUCCGUUUUCAAGAGCUGAUCUGGUUGUGCUACCUCGCUCCUCGCCGCGGUUUCGAAAUCCGACUUCGAUAGGAUCCGAUUGAGAGAAGGGAGACGAAGGGACGUUAUGGUCUGAGGUGCUAGUGGUUCAACUCAAUGCGCGGGCUGCCAGACAUUUUCACCGUCGUUUGAGGUUCUAGUCAUUGCAUGUUUGUCGACGAGAGAAGCUCGAACAACGUCGCCGGAGCUAAUCCUUUGCGAGAUCCGGCCUCGUAAUCAUUUCGAAUUCCAAGCUUCGACUAGUACUAGCCUCACCGACUGGAAGGGCCGGUGGAGACUCUUGCAUCUAUUGUCCCACCCUUCCAUCGACGUCAGAGAAGAAAUCGACCGGAAAUUCGAAAAUUUCUAAGUUGCAGAGAUUUCGGUCGAGUUCUUCAAGGGGUAAUAAAGUUCUACUAGGGGUAAUAAAUCUAGGGAAGUUUAUUGCCCCCUAGUAAAAUUUCAAUGGAAGUUUAUUGCCCUCAAACAAAACAUUUUUCAUCAUUACUGCCUCUCAAUAAGUUUUUAUUGACCUCAAUAGAAGUUUAUUACCCCCAAUAAAACCUCAGUAGAAGUUUAUUGCCCCCCAGUGAAAUCUCAGUAGAAGUUUAUUGUCCCUCCCCCCUAGCAAAACAUUUUUCAUCAAUACUGCCCCUCAAUAAGGUUCUAGUGACCUCAGUAGAAGUUUAUUGCCCCCCAGUAAAACAUUUUUCAUCAUUACUGCCCUCAAUUAAACUUCAGCGAUGGUGUGGUAUGCUUUCGGCAAGAUUUGGUAGAUUCCGGUGACGUUAAAAAAAAUCCUGCGAGAUUCCAGCGACCAGCGAGAUUUCGGACAUCGGUGAGGUUUUGGCCAAAUCUUCUCUCUCUCUCUCUNNNNN
RNAcentral lists this long non-coding RNA (2001 nucleotides) under Fragaria vesca (wild strawberry). RNAcentral's name for it is "long non-coding RNA (FVES_LNC001367)". Lineage: Eukaryota; Viridiplantae; Streptophyta; Magnoliopsida; Rosales; Rosaceae. The record is from RNAcentral.